This is a small nucleolar RNA of Carya illinoinensis, 144 nucleotides long. RefSeq annotates it as small nucleolar RNA snoR136. NCBI's taxonomy places the organism in Eukaryota, Viridiplantae, Streptophyta, Magnoliopsida, Fagales, Juglandaceae. The record is from RefSeq and is a predicted model, not a curated record. The transcript has a single exon.
CAUGCAAUUUUCUUGAUUUUGGCUUACACUAGAAAACUUUUUCUAUUUGUGUUUUGGCCAAGUGAAACUGAAGCACAGAAUUAUGUUCUCCUUGCUAUCCAGUGCUCCAUUCAUGCUGCAAUAGGACGUUGGUGAACUAUAUUC